CAAACAGUACGUGAAACCGUCAGGAGGGAAACGAACGAGGUUGGUGCAGUGAUCGCGCAGGUUCAAGCACCGCCGAGGUCACCGGCACGUCGACGAAGACCGUCCCGCGCCGUCUGCCCGAGGCAGUGCCGUACUCCUCGCGAGCGCGAACCAGCGGCGGUCGGAUCGGAGCCACAAGGCGGCAGGGAAGGUACGUGGACGUGGGCCUUCCCUGCAUUCACAACUUACAGCCCUGCUUGCUGGCGCCCCGGUCCGACCGAGGAACAAGGGCAGCCCCUGCCCGCCGUGGUGCACGCCGAAUGGCGGGGCCUCCCGGCAGGAGUGAACCGUGCGGUGUGGACUGCAUGCAGUGCUAACCGUGGCGGCGAUCUCGUGUCGGAGAGCGUCACCUGUGCACCAGUGCUGCUGGUAUUCGGACGGCCUCGUCCGA
Molecule: small RNA, 430 nt
Filed under: Vaceletia crypta
Lineage: Eukaryota; Metazoa; Porifera; Demospongiae; Dictyoceratida; Verticillitidae
Description: partial large subunit ribosomal RNA
Source: RNAcentral